GAUGAGCCCGCGGCCUAUCAGCUUGUUGGUGGGGUAAUGGCCUACCAAGGCGACGACGGGUAGCCGGCCUGAGAGGGCGACCGGCCACACUGGGACUGAGACACGGCCCAGACUCCUACGGGAGGCAGCAGUGGGGAAUAUUGCACAAUGGGCGAAAGCCUGAUGCAGCGACGCCGCGUGAGGGAUGACGGCCUUCGGGUUGUAAACCUCUUUCAGCAGGGAAGAAGCGAAAGUGACGGUACCUGCAGAAGAAGCGCCGGCUAACUACGUGCCAGCAGCCGCGGUAAUACGUAGGGCGCAAGCGUUGUCCGGAAUUAUUGGGCGUAAAGAGCUCGUAGGCGGCUUGUCACGUCGGGUGUGAAAGCCCGGGGCUUAACCCCGGGUCUGCAUCCGAUACGGGCAGGCUAGAGUGUGGUAGGGGAGAUCGGAAUUCCUGGUGUAGCGGUGAAAUGCGCAGAUAUCAGGAGGAACACCGGUGGCGAAGGCGGAUCUCUGGGCCAUUACUGACGCUGAGGAGCGAAAGCGUGGGGAGCGAACAGGAUUAGAUACCCU
This 552-nucleotide ribosomal RNA is filed under the name Streptomyces sp. RNAcentral's name for it is "bacterial SSU rRNA". It matches the Rfam family "Bacterial small subunit ribosomal RNA", at positions 224 to 788 of the family's 1533-position model. The record is from RNAcentral. Lineage: Bacteria; Bacillati; Actinomycetota; Actinomycetes; Kitasatosporales; Streptomycetaceae.